GAUGAACGCUGGCGGCGUGCCUAAGACAUGCAAGUCGAACGCCCCGCAAGGGGAGUGGCAGACGGGUGAGUAACACGUGGGAACGCACCCUUUGGUUCGGAAUAACUUGGGGAAACUCAAGCUAAUACCGGAUAAGCCCUUAUGGGGAAAGGUUUACUGCCGAAGGAUCGGCCCGCGUCUGAUUAGCUAGUUGGUGAGGUAACGGCUCACCAAGGCGACGAUCAGUAGCUGGUCUGAGAGGAUGAUCAGCCACACUGGGACUGAGACACGGCCCAGACUCCUACGGGAGGCAGCAGUGGGGAAUAUUGGACAAUGGGGGCAACCCUGAUCCAGCCAUGCCGCGUGAGUGAUGAAGGCCUUAGGGUUGUAAAGCUCUUUUACCCGGGACGAUAAUGACUGUACCGGGAGAAUAAGCCCCGGCUAACUUCGUGCCAGCCGCCGCAGUAA
RNAcentral lists this ribosomal RNA (447 nucleotides) under uncultured bacterium. RNAcentral's name for it is "partial 16S ribosomal RNA". It matches the Rfam family "Bacterial small subunit ribosomal RNA", at positions 28 to 523 of the family's 1533-position model. The record is from RNAcentral.